UUGUACUCUGCCUCUGACUCUCUUCCAAGAACAAUUUGGCAAGUUCUAAUCUACAUCUUGCAAAAAAAAAACAAAAAACAAAAAACAGAGAGGUAGGAGGGCCACAGCACCUGGGGUCCCAGAAGGCAGACUGACCUAUUCCUACAGCAGGGAGACAAGGUCUCAUUCUGUUGCCCAGGCUGGAGUGCAGUGGUGCAAUCACGGUUCACUGCAACCUGGAACUCCAGGGUUCAAGCAAUCCUCCUGCCUCAGCCUGCCGAGUAGCUGUGACAACAGGUGCGAGCCACCAUGCCCAGCUAAGAUUUCACCAUGUUGCCCAGCUGGUCUUGAACUCCUGGCCUCAAGCAAUUCUCCUGCUUUAGGCUCCCAAGUUGCUGGAAUUACAGGCUGCCUCCUCUGAGCCUUCCCAGAUUCUCAGUCUGUGAUGAAAUAGACAGAACACCAAGCUACCAGGAAGGGCACCUGCCUCCUAGAUCGGAAUCUUCGUCCAUUCGCACUUAGGUGAUCACUUGCCUUCGAGAGCCCCAUCCAGAAGACGGGAGUAAUGAGCCCUGCUCUGCCCAUCACGGGCCGCUAUGAGGAUGCAA
Molecule: long non-coding RNA, 587 nt
Filed under: Homo sapiens (human)
Lineage: Eukaryota; Metazoa; Chordata; Mammalia; Primates; Hominidae
Description: non-protein coding lnc-IL10RA-1:6
Source: RNAcentral